AUUGAACGCUGGCGGCAGGCUUAACACAUGCAAGUCGAGCGGAGAUGAGGUGCUUGCACCUUAUCUUAGCGGCGGACGGGUGAGUAAUGCUUAGGAAUCUGCCUAUUAGUGGGGGACAACAUUCCGAAAGGAAUGCUAAUACCGCAUACGUCCUACGGGAGAAAGCAGGGGAUCUUCGGACCUUGCGCUAAUAGAUGAGCCUAAGUCGGAGUAGCUAGUUGGUGGGGUAAAGGCCUACCAAGGCGACGAUCUGUAGCGGGUCUGAGAGGAUGAACCGCCACACUGGCACCGAGACACGGCCCAGACUCCUACGGGAGGCAGCAGUGGGGAAUAUUGGACAAUGGGGGGAACCCUGAUCCAGCCAUGCCGCGUGUGUGAAGAAGGCCUUAUGGUUGUAAAGCACUUUAAGCGAGGAGGAGGCUACUGAGACUAAUACUCUUGGAUAGUGGACGUUACUCGCAGAAUAAGCACCGGCUAACUCUGUGCCAGCCGCCGUAAAAC
RNAcentral lists this ribosomal RNA (501 nucleotides) under uncultured bacterium. Its description in RNAcentral is "partial 16S ribosomal RNA". It matches the Rfam family "Bacterial small subunit ribosomal RNA", at positions 30 to 526 of the family's 1533-position model. The record is from RNAcentral.